This 272-nucleotide ribosomal RNA is filed under the name uncultured bacterium. RNAcentral describes it as "partial 16S ribosomal RNA". It matches the Rfam family "Bacterial small subunit ribosomal RNA", at positions 524 to 794 of the family's 1533-position model. The record is from RNAcentral.
UACGGAGGGUGCAAGCGUUAUCCGGAAUCACUGGGUUUAAAGGGUGCGUAGGCGGUCUAAUAAGUCAGUCGUGAAAUCGCUGGGCUCAACCCAUGCAAUUGCGAUUGAUACUGUUAGACUUGAAGGGGGUUGAGGCUGGCGGAAUGCGACAUGUGGCGGUGAAAUGCGUAGAUAUAGGGAGGAACACCUAUGGCGAAAGCAGCUGCCUGGGCCUUUUCUGACGCUAAGACUCGAAAGCUGGGGGAGCAAACAGGAUUAGAUACCCUAGUAGU